Molecule: transfer RNA, 78 nt
Filed under: bacterium BMS3Bbin02
Lineage: Bacteria
Description: tRNA-Ala
Rfam family: tRNA
About the family: Transfer RNA (tRNA) molecules are approximately 80 nucleotides in length. Their secondary structure includes four short double-helical elements and three loops (D, anti-codon, and T loops). Further hydrogen bonds mediate the characteristic L-shaped molecular structure. tRNAs have two regions of fundamental functional importance: the anti-codon, which is responsible for specific mRNA codon recognition, and the 3' end, to which the tRNAs corresponding amino acid is attached (by aminoacyl-tRNA synthetases). tRNAs cope with the degeneracy of the genetic code in two manners: having more than one tRNA (with a specific anti-codon) for a particular amino acid; and 'wobble' base-pairing, i.e. permitting non-standard base-pairing at the 3rd anti-codon position.
Source: RNAcentral
UGGGGACGUAGCUCAGCCUGGCAGAGCACCUGAUUUGCAUUCAGGGGGUCGUCGGUUCGAAUCCGAUCGUCUCCACCC